This 69-nucleotide transfer RNA is filed under the name Triaenodes qinglingensis. RNAcentral describes it as "tRNA-Gln". Lineage: Eukaryota; Metazoa; Arthropoda; Insecta; Trichoptera; Leptoceridae. The record is from RNAcentral.
UAUAUUAUAAUGUAUUAUGCAUAAAAAUUUUUGAAAUUUUUAGAUUUAGUUUGAUUCUAAAUGAUAUAA